UCAGGACGAACGCUGGCUGCGUGCUUAACACAUGCAAGUCGAACGCUGAAGCCCCAGCUUGCUGGGGUGGAUGAGUGGCGAACGGGUGAGUAACACGUGAGUAACCUGCCCCUGACUUCGGGAUAAGCCCGGGAAACUGGGUCUAAUACCGGAUACGACUGCCGGACGCAUGUCUGGUGGUGGAAAGUUUUUUCGGUUGGGGAUGGGCUCGCGGCCUAUCAGUUUGUUGGUGAGGUAAUGGCUCACCAAGACGACGACGGGUAGCCGGCCUGAGAGGGCGACCGGCCACACUGGGACUGAGACACGGCCCAGACUCCUACGGGAGGCAGCAGUGGGGAAUAUUGCACAAUGGGGGAAACCCUGAUGCAGCGACGCAGCGUGCGGGAUGACGGCCUUCGGGUUGUAAACCGCUUUCAGCAGGGAAGAAGCCUUCGGGUGACGGUACCUGCAGAAGAAGUACCGGCUAACUACGUGCCAGCAGCCGCGGUAAUACGUAGGGUACGAGCGUUGUCCGGAAUUAUUGGGCGUAAAGAGCUCGUAGGUGGUUGGUCACGUCUGCUGUGGAAACGCAACGCUUAACGUUGCGCGUGCAGUGGGUACGGGCUGACUAGAGUGCAGUAGGGGAGUCUGGAAUUCCUGGUGUAGCGGUGAAAUGCGCAGAUAUCAGGAGGAACACCGGUGGCGAAGGCGGGACUCUGGGCUG
Molecule: ribosomal RNA, 703 nt
Filed under: Brevibacterium casei
Lineage: Bacteria; Bacillati; Actinomycetota; Actinomycetes; Micrococcales; Brevibacteriaceae
Description: bacterial SSU rRNA
Rfam family: Bacterial small subunit ribosomal RNA
Source: RNAcentral